RNAcentral lists this ribosomal RNA (468 nucleotides) under uncultured bacterium. RNAcentral's name for it is "partial 16S ribosomal RNA". It matches the Rfam family "Bacterial small subunit ribosomal RNA", at positions 28 to 507 of the family's 1533-position model. The record is from RNAcentral.
GACGAACGCUGGCGGCGUGCUUAACACAUGCAAGUCGAACGGAAAGGCCCUGCUUUUGUGGGGUGCUCGAGUGGCGAACGGGUGAGUAACACGUGAGUAACCUGCCCUUGACUUUGGGAUAACUUCAGGAAACUGGGGCUAAUACCGGAUAGGAGCUCCUGCUGCAUGGUGGGGGUUGGAAAGUUUCGGCGGUUGGGGGUGGACUCGCGGCUUAUCAGCUUGUUGGUGGGGUUGUUGCUUACCAAGGCUUUGACGGGUAGCCGGCCUGAGAGGGUGACCGGGCACAAUGGGGCUGAUGUACCGCCCACAAUACUAACGGAGGCGAGCGUUGGGAAUAUUGCACAAUGGGCGGAAGCCUGAUGCAGCAACGCCGCGUGCGGGAUGACGGCCUUCGGGUUGUAAACCGCUUUCGCCUGUGACGAAGCGUGAGUGACGGUAAUGGGUAAAGAAGCACCGGCUAACUACGUG